RNAcentral lists this ribosomal RNA (254 nucleotides) under uncultured bacterium. RNAcentral's name for it is "partial 16S ribosomal RNA". It matches the Rfam family "Bacterial small subunit ribosomal RNA", at positions 524 to 776 of the family's 1533-position model. The record is from RNAcentral.
UACGUAGGGCGCAAGCGUUAUCCGUGAAUUAUUGGGCGUAAAGAGCUCGUAGGCGGUUUGUCGCGUCUGCCGUGAAAGUCCGGGGCUCAACUCCGGAUCUGCGGUGGGUACGGGCAGACUAGAGUGAUGUAGGGGAGACUGGAAUUCCUGGUGUAGCGGUGAAAUGCGCAGAUAUCAGGAGGAACACCGAUGGCGAAGGCAGGUCUCUGGGCAUUAACUGACGCUGAGGAGCGAAAGCGUGGGGAGCGAACAGG